CACAAAUAUAGGGAGUCCACUGUUCACACGAAUAGAGUCUUCCCUGUAUUUGCAUGGCGUCGCACAAGUACAAGAUGUAUAACCAGAAAUACAACCACCACUAAAUGAAUAUACAAACAAUCACACAUUCAUACAUUCACCAUUCACAUUCAGAUCCACAUUCGGUGUUUAAUCAUAAAUCCACAUCUAUCAGUUAAAAUGUUUCCUACCCGGAAACUGAUUUUGAAAUACUAAGAUACAAAAUCCACAGAAAAACCUUUUAAAGCUUCCUACACGGAAACUCUUAUCUAUUUGAAAAUCCGCUACCACGAGAGGUAGAAAAUCAUUUUCAUUUCACAGAAAUACAAACGAGUUAUUAUAUUCAUAAAACCAACUGAAAUUUCAAAUAUUCAAAAGAUAAUAAAACUGAAUCAUAAAUA
This 419-nucleotide long non-coding RNA is filed under the name Ananas comosus (pineapple). RNAcentral's name for it is "long non-coding RNA (ACOM_LNC005671)". The record is from RNAcentral. Lineage: Eukaryota; Viridiplantae; Streptophyta; Magnoliopsida; Poales; Bromeliaceae.